CAACAACCGCCCAAGGGCUGAGGAGUGCGGGCGCACAGCGUGGGACUGGCAGACAGCUCCACCUGCAGCCCCCGGGCGGGAUCCACUGAGUGAAGCCAGCUGGGCUCUUGAGUCUGGUGGGGACUUGGAGAAUCUUUAUGUCUAGCUAAGGGAUUGUAAAUACACCAAUCAGCACUCUGUAUCUAGCUCAAGGUUUGUAAAUGCACCAAUCAGCACUCUGUGUCUAGCUGAUCUGGUGGGGACUUGGAGAACAUUUAUGUCUAGCUAAGGGAUUGUGAAUACACCAAUCAGCACUCUGUAUCUAGCUCAAGGUUUGUAAAUGCACCAAUCAGCACCCUGUGUCUAGCUAAUCUGGUGGGGACUUGGAGAACCUUUGUGUCUAGCUCAGGAUUGUAAACGCACCAAUCAGCACCCUGUCAAAACAGACCAAUCAGCUCUCUGUAAAACAGACCAAUCAGCUCUCUGUAAAAUGGGCCAAUCAGCAGGAUGUGGGUGGAGCCAGAUAAGGGAAGAAAAGCAGGCUCUCCGAGCUAGCGGUGGCAAUCUGUUAGGGUUUGUGUCUGUCGUGUGGAAGCUUUGUUCAUUCGUCUUUUGCAAUAAAUCUUGCUACUGCUCAGUCUUUGGGUCCACACUGCUUUUAUGAGCUGUAGCAGUCACCACGAAGGUCUGCAGCUGCACUCCUGAGGCUAGCGAGACCACGAACCCACCGGGAGGAGCGAACGACUCCAGACGCGCUGACUUAAGAGCUGUAACAGCUUACCGCUAAGGUCUGCAGCUUCACUCCUGAGCCAGAGAGACCAGGAACCCACCUAGAAGGAACAAACUCCGGACAUGCCGCCUUUAAGAGCUGUAACACUCACCGCCAGGGUCCGCAGCUGCAUUCUUGAAGUCAGUGAGACCAAGAACCCACCAAUUCCAGACACACUGUCAUCAAAAAGUGGGAUAUCUUUUUAAACAGAGAUAACAUUGCAGAAUCUUGGAGUUGGAAAUAGACCUCAGCUGGGGUUUAGUCCUGUUUUCUCCUCAGAGCAGAAGUCCUGGGAUGCCGUUCUGGACUGAUUGUCAGUUUUUUCUCCUGUCCUUGAGCUAUUCUAAUGCCAGACAUCUGUGGCUUUACACAGCCAGGCUUUCAGUUAGAGAACUUGGUUAGCUCAGGUCAACAAAUGCUGCUCUGAGAACACUGACUCCCAUGUGGGGAGACUCUGCACCUGGAGCUCCGGGAGAGCCGGCUCAGGCCUCUUCCUGCUAUCCAGGGAACUGCAGUGGCGUUGGAGGGCCUUGCUGGGGCUGGGGCUGGGGAGAAGGGAUUCCAACCCUACUGAUAAUUCGUUUGGAAACACCGGGCUGUGGAUUUCAGAAGUUCUUGGGCAGCCUGAUUACCACUGGCAGUGAGCCGGGGACGAAGCCGAAGCUAUGAGUGACAGACGGAAAGAACUGGGGGCUUUGGUGAACCAGAGAACACUUAGCUCCUCCAGCCCUGAAGCAGGCGUCACCGCAGGGCUUAUGGUCCUAAGAGCCACUUAGUUUCCUUAUUCAUUAAACUAGUUUAAUUUGGGUUUUCUGCAUCCUGGAGGACACCAAGUCGGUGUGCGGAGGGACCCUGUAGACACGUGUGCAAAGAAUAAGCCGACGAUCAUGGAAUUUCUGAUGACGCCACUGACACGUGGGAUGGAGGCCUCCUUCCCAGGGCACCCCUACACUCAUGACAAUGAAUCCUGGCUCUUAUUCACCCCUUUGGAUUUCACAAGCAAGUACGGUAUGGCACUUUGAGGUGAAAUAUGGCUCUAUUUAAUGUCACUGGUUUCUUGAAGCUCUGAGUUUUCUGGGACCACAAGUUUUACUUGAAGACCUUCUCCGAUCAAACAACUCUGCCGCUGCAGCUUGAAAACAACCACAGACAACACACACACAAAUCCAGCGUGGCUGUGUUCCGACGCAAUUUGACAAAAACAGGCACUGGCCAGACUUGGCCCAUGGACUGCAGUUUGCCAGCCUCUGAACUUAGAGGAAAAAAAUUGGAAGAAUGGAGUGAACCUUGAGCACAGGGAGGAGCAGGCACUGAAGCUGUCUGUGUGCUCUUUUCCUGUCUUGAUGGAGAACAAGACAUUUGUAUGCUUUCACAAAACAAAGACAAGUGUAACUGUGAGUUCAAAGAUUACAUCAUUGAUUUCAGUAGUGUUGAUACUUUAAGCAUUUGCUAUGUUUCCUCUGAGCUAUUGGGACAUUACACUGAGAUGCAGUCGGUGGUAUGGGGAGGUGCUCAGGGGUUCUCCUCUCUGCCCUCACUGCUUGGUGCUUACAGACAGCUACUGAAGCAGUGCCUUUCAUGCUGGGGAGCCUGACUAUUUGCAGGUUGUUAAAUCAAUUUAAUGGGUCGUGGUCUGCAUUUGAAAGAAUAGAACUGGCUCAACUUCCUUGGGCUAGAAUGGAAAAUCACAAGGUACAUCCUUUAUAGUAUUUUGUGAAUUUUUGUUGUACACUUGAACAUAUAUAAACAUAUAUGGGAUGCAUACAUAAUAAAGAACUAUUAGGGGAAAAUCAAGCUGUUUUUUGUAAAGUUAAAACUUUGGAAAGAGUAUAGUCGAGUCACAAACUUUUCUCUGUUAAGUUAUACCUAGAUGUGAUGAUUGUGAAAAAUUGGCAAACAAAAACUCUAGAAAAAGUUUGCAUUCAGAUUGUUUCCCAAUGGCUUCCUAAGUUACUGAAAGACAUCUCAACUAGAAUUUAGGAAUAGACACUUUCAGUGUUAU
RNAcentral lists this long non-coding RNA (2750 nucleotides) under Homo sapiens (human). Its description in RNAcentral is "HSALNT0206766". The record is from RNAcentral. Lineage: Eukaryota; Metazoa; Chordata; Mammalia; Primates; Hominidae.